Molecule: ribosomal RNA, 253 nt
Filed under: uncultured bacterium
Lineage: Bacteria
Description: partial 16S ribosomal RNA
Rfam family: Bacterial small subunit ribosomal RNA
Source: RNAcentral
GACGAACCGUGCGAACGUUAUUCGGAAUCACUGGGCUUAAAGGGCGCGUAGGCGGGCCUGAAAGUCAGGGGUGAAAGCCCCCAGCUUAACUGGGGAAGUGCCUCUGAUACUUCAGGCCUCGAGGGAGGUAGGGGCGUGCGGAACUUCCGGUGGAGCGGUGAAAUGCGUAGAUAUCGGAAGGAACGUCGGUGGCGAAAGCGGCGCGCUGGACCUCUUCUGACGCUGAGGCGCGAAAGCCAGGGGAGCGAACGGG